RNAcentral lists this ribosomal RNA (908 nucleotides) under Septonema fasciculare. RNAcentral's name for it is "LSU rRNA". It matches the Rfam family "Eukaryotic large subunit ribosomal RNA", at positions 35 to 966 of the family's 3401-position model. The record is from RNAcentral. Lineage: Eukaryota; Fungi; Ascomycota; Dothideomycetes; Venturiales; Cylindrosympodiaceae.
UAAGCAUAUCAAUAAGCGGAGGAAAAGAAACCAACAGGGAUUGCCUCAGUAACGGCGAGUGAAGCGGCAACAGCUCAAAUUUGAAAUCUGGCUCACGCCCGAGUUGUAAUUUGUAGAGGAUGCUUCGGGUGAAGCCGCGGUCCAAGUCCCUUGGAACAGGACGUCAUAGAGGGUGAGAACCCCGUACCUGGCCGCCGGUGCCCCCCGCUGUGAAGCUCCUUCGACGAGUCGAGUUGUUUGGGAAUGCAGCUCUAAAUUGGUGGUAAAUUCCAUCUAAAGCUAAAUACCGGCCAGAGACCGAUAGCGCACAAGUAGAGUGAUCGAAAGAUGAAAAGCACUUUGAAAAGAGAGUUAAAAAGUACGUGAAAUUGUUGAAAGGGAAGCGCUUGCGGCCAGACUUGCCCGCGGUUGCUCAGCCCGCCCUCUGGCGGGUGCACUCUUCCGCGGUCAGGCCAGCAUCGGUUUGGGCGGUCGGACAAAGGCGUUGGGAACGUGACCUCCCCUCGGGGAGGUGUUAUAGCCCGGCGCGCAAUGCGACCAGCCUGGACCGAGGUUCGCGCUCUGCUAGGAUGCUGGCGUAAUGGCCGUAAGCGGCCCGUCUUGAAACACGGACCAAGGAGUCUAACAUCUAUGCGAGUGUUUGGGUGUCAAACCCGUGCGCGUAAUGAAAGUGAACGGAGGUGGGAACCUUAGGGUGCACCAUCGACCGAUCCUGAUGUCUUCGGAAGGAUUUGAGUAAGAGCAUAGCUGUUGGGACCCGAAAGAUGGUGAACUAUGCGUGAAUAGGGUGAAGCCAGAGGAAACUCUGGUGGAGGCUCGCAGCGGUUCUGACGUGCAAAUCGAUCGUCAAAUUUGCGUAUAGGGGCGAAAGACUAAUCGAACCAUUUAGUAGCUGGUUCCUGCCGAAG